This 497-nucleotide ribosomal RNA is filed under the name uncultured bacterium. Its description in RNAcentral is "partial 16S ribosomal RNA". It matches the Rfam family "Bacterial small subunit ribosomal RNA", at positions 28 to 507 of the family's 1533-position model. The record is from RNAcentral.
GAUGAACGCAGGCGGAAUGCCAAAAAAAUACAAAUAGAGCGAACAAAAGAGAAACAUGCUUCAAACAAGAAAAAGAAAGAAAAGUACGUAAAACAUAGAUACAAAACCUAUAAACAUGGACUAACAUCGGGAAACCGUAGCUAAUACCGGAUAAUAUUUUGAACCGCAUGGUUCAAUAGUGAAAGACGGUUUUGCUGUCACUUAUAGAUGGAUCCGCGCUGCAUUAGCUAGUUGGUAAGGUAACGGCUUACCAAGGCAACGAUGCGUAGCCGACCUGAGAGUUGUGUGUGCCACACUGGAACUGAGACACGGUCCAGACUCCUACGGGAGGCAGCAGUAGGGAAUCUUCCGCAAUGGGCGAAAGCCUGACGGAGCAACGCCGCGUGAGUGAUGAAGGUCUUCGGAUCGUAAAACUCUGUUAUUAGGGAAUAACAAAUGUGUAAGUAACUAUGCACGUCUUGACGGUACCUAAUCAGAAAGCCACGGCUAACUACGUG